RNAcentral lists this long non-coding RNA (3555 nucleotides) under Homo sapiens (human). Its description in RNAcentral is "HSALNT0170183". The record is from RNAcentral. Lineage: Eukaryota; Metazoa; Chordata; Mammalia; Primates; Hominidae.
GGUUUUAAAGAGUUGGCCCCUGUCCCACCUCCUCUGGAUGCCUGGGUCUUCCCUGCAGCAGGAUGUCUCGCUCCACCAGCACUCUGCCCAAGUGAGGGAAGGAGGGCGGGCCACGUGGGCCUCGGGCACGGCAGCUGCGACAGAGGGAGAGACAGGCUGGAGCUGCUCGGGGUGCUCCAGGCUCACAGGUAGGAGCAUCCCUCUCAUCCUUCAAUCCUCCCGUGUGGUCUCAGCAUCUGGGCCAAACUCCUCCCAGCCCCUUCAGCUGAAUCCUUCCCCAGUGGUCACACUGGGCAGGAACAGAACGGCCUCUGUCUUCAUCACUUCCGUCUCCAAGCACCUUGCCCGCCCAGCGUGUUCUAGCUGCCGACUGAGACACGCCCACUUAUUCUACCAAUUCAGCGCACUCCAUUUCCGCUCAGAAACCAAAACUUAGUGGAGAGCCCCAGCGGCCGUGGUUCGCAGAAGACUCUCCCAUAAGAUGCACCGCCAUCCGUGUAGCUUGGCCUAACAAUAUGCCUGUUUUUAGAUGAAAAACCUCCUCUGCCCAACACGACCCAUCCCUUAGAGUUCAAAACCAAACUCACCUGGACCAAACCUGAGGCCACGUUGAAACAAGGUGCAGUGAGCUUUGCGCCUGGUUACGUGGUCUCAGUCCAGCUGAAGUGAGGCUGGGAACUGUGGUCAGCUGUGUACCUGGAGAGAUGAAUGGGAUGGGUGUCCAGUGUCCCCCACCGGCCCGGAUGCUGCCUCACCUUGGACAUGGUGAUAGAGGAGGUGUCAUGAACUGAUUUGGGCUAGGUGCUUAUUGAUUAUUCUAGUCUCUUCUAAGUAUUCUGAUACUGAUUCUGCUCCAGCAUCACCGGCGGGGCUGUGGCAGAUCCAGGCAGUGCCAGGUUUAUGGGCAUGUGCUGCACAGGUCCCAAAUGCAGAAGGGUCCUGGCACUUGAUUUAAUGCUAUGUGUUACCAUCUUGAAAUUUGUAAUAAUUUUGAACAAGGAGGUUUCAUUUCCUUUUUGUACUGGGAUCUGCAAAGUAUGUAGCUCGUCCUGAAGCUAAUGUAUUUUUGGGGUCCACGUGCUCAGGGGCCCAAACCUUGUACCUUUAGCACCCUCAGUUUCCCAGUCCAGCUCUGGGCCCUGGAAUUGCAUCAGCCUUGCUCUCAGGGGUGGGGGUGCAGGAGACAUGUAUUUCUCUGUGGGAAAUACAUGAGGUCUUGAGGUACCCAGGUUUCUGGGGAACAGGAGCAGAAGAGAGCAGCAUGGCUCUGGAUCACUCCAUAGACCCAGGGGCUUCUGCUUCAGAGGGCCCUUAACCUUCCAGCCCCGGGGAUGCACCCUCCUCCCUCAGCCCCUGCCAUCAUCUGGAAUCCCGUGGCCACAGAGUCCUGUAUCACAUUCUCCUUGGAUGCUGGGGUUUCUCGUUCUGAAGCCCUCUCUGCUGUGGGGCCUUUCCCAUGCUCUCAGGUGGCCUGUGGGAGAGAGGCCCAGCUUGUCAUCGUUCUGUGCAACCGACCCCAAGCCAACAUCCACCUUUCUUAGUGGCCAUGGAACACGUCUCACAAGCCUGCUUUGCCUCCUACACCGAUGGGCGCUAAACCUUCCCAAAUGAAAGACGUAGGCACUUACUUCUCUGUCCUGUGAAGUGAGCCACCAGUGUCACCCAUCCAAAGACAGAAAGGACUCAUUACUCUCAAAAGCCCCUGGCAUUGUGGAUUAUCUGGCUGUCAUCUUGCUUCUGUUGCUGUGAACUCUGAGGGUUGGGGGCUGCGGCUCCCAUCCCCUGUCAGUGAAACCCGCUGGGUGCUGUGCUGUGCACACCUUGACUGUCAGUGUGCAGGGCGUCCUGAGGCACGGGUUGCACUGGAGGACGGGAUGCCACAGCCACCCUGCCACAGCAUCAGAGGCCACUGCCUGGCCCACACAAGGGUGUGGGGGAGGUGUAGUCAUUUCAGCAGGAGGAGUCAUGCUCCUCAUUUUCAAGAAAGGGCCACCUGCUUUUGCAAAACCGAGGCGGAAGUCCAAACACAGAAGGAGCUGCCCAGUUGCACAUACAACUUGAUUGAUUUUGAAAGGAAAGCACGCCAUUGUGCUUCUGUUAUGAAUAAUGGUAAUUGAGACAUGACCUUCAUGAAAUUUCAGAAAAGGAUCCAAGUAGCUGUACAGUGCUGGUCAACUGGAAACACUGUAGACACUCCCAGAAGGAUCUGGGUUGCCACCUCAGGAAAGCUGCUCUGGGCUCCAGGGUGGGCUCCAGGAGGUGGCCUGGUAGACUUCUGCCUGACCUGUGAAAUACAACCAUAGAAACAAAAGGGUAUUAGCUUGUUUUCAUUUUCAAAAUUGAAUAUCUUAUCUCCAGGUUUGUUUUAUUGUUGUUGAAUUAAAAUACUUAGGGAUGUGAAUUCAAUAAGGUUCAUUUUUUUUGACACAUGAGAGGCAUAAGACCUCUUAUUUUUUUCUCAUAUUGUGCUUUAAAACAGAUUCCACCUGAAAUAAGUGAAGGAAAGGCUACAGUGGACUGCAGGCCUUCUCAGAGCCUUUAAAAUGUGAAUGUACUUUGGGAAUUGCCAAUAGAGUAAAACAUUGAGUAAUGUUUCCUAGGCAGAAUUCUUCUUUGGUGUGUAUCUAUGAAUAAUGCAGAUUUGGGUAGAGAAGAGUGGAGCCUACAGUGGCAUGGGAGUGAGUUUGAGUGAAUUCCUUCCCCAGGCAGUCCAGGGGUCCAGGAUUUGCUCAAGGGUGUUUGGGUUGGGAAACCAGAUCCUGCUUCUCCCUUCUGUUGCUGCAAAGGCAACUUAGUGCUCAAAUGUCUCCUUGGGGAACUUGGGUUGUAAAGCUUUCCCUGUCUGUCUGAUCUCCUGGGCUCUGUCACACAGUUGUUAUCACACAGGGCUUGAACUGCUCCACACCCUGAGGGAAUGGAGGGAGUUCUGCUGAAACCAAUCUCUCCUCUCCAGACCUUGUAUUUAGUGUAAAACUGCCCCUCCAACUCUGUUAGUCACAAGCAGAGGAGUCCUCAGCAGUUUUUCAUGAAUGAGAGGAGUGAUUGAUUCCCCUCAUGUCCUGCUGGGAGUGGGCUCUGGCCCUUGUUCCAGACAGGGCCUACAAAAUCCUCCAUCCUUCAAUCUAUGGGGGGUUUACCCUCAUACCCAUAUAGGAGCUGCUUGCUUCUGCCUCUCUCUGCCCAAGGAUAUCUUGAAAUAAAAAUAAAACCUGGUGAAUCUUGUCCUCUGGAGGUCAGGCAACUUCUGAUUUGAGCUCAACAAUAGGAAAAAUUGGCAUGCUGGGACAAAAAGUUCAGGUAUCAGAGAGAAGCAUGGCCAUCCUGUGGGAGAGGGAGGAAGAGAUGGCUCACUCCUACCAGACACCUAGUGAUCUGAAAACAAACCUAGAUUGAGUCAACACAGAUUAUUCACCACACAGAGACAAUUGGAAUAAACUAAUCAGCCUACCAAUCAACCUACCUACCAACCUACCAACUAGCCAACCAUUCUACCAACCAACUAACUAACCUACCUACCAACCAACCUAUCAACAACCAACCAACCAACCAACCUAU